This 18-nucleotide small nuclear RNA is filed under the name Arabidopsis thaliana (thale cress). RNAcentral describes it as "snRNA_04628". The record is from RNAcentral. Lineage: Eukaryota; Viridiplantae; Streptophyta; Magnoliopsida; Brassicales; Brassicaceae.
CUCGGGGGUCCCAGUUCC